Molecule: ribosomal RNA, 254 nt
Filed under: uncultured bacterium
Lineage: Bacteria
Description: partial 16S ribosomal RNA
Rfam family: Bacterial small subunit ribosomal RNA
Source: RNAcentral
UACGUAGGGGGCAAGCGUUGUCCGGAUUUAUUGGGCGUAAAGAGCUCGUAGGCGGCUUGUCGCGUCAACUGUGAAAACCCGUGGCUCAACCAUGUGGUCUGCAGUCGAUACGGGCAGGCUAGAAUUCGGUAGGGGAGACUGGAAUUCCUGGUGUAGCGGUGAAAUGCGCAGAUAUCAGGAGGAACACCGGUGGCGAAGGCGGGUCUCUGGGCCGAUAUUGACGCUGAGGAGCGAAAGCGUGGGGAGCGAACAGG